Molecule: ribosomal RNA, 1203 nt
Filed under: Triticum aestivum (bread wheat)
Lineage: Eukaryota; Viridiplantae; Streptophyta; Magnoliopsida; Poales; Poaceae
Description: partial small subunit ribosomal RNA
Source: RNAcentral
AUGGACAUCGACUCCGAACCGCCCGCCGAGAGCAAGCCCACCCAGAUGGACCUCGAGGACCAGGCGGACGCCGACGGGAAGGGGGAGGACGAGGAGCUCGCGGACUCCAUCGGGAGCCUAUCCAUUGCCCCCGGCCGCACCAGCUUCAAGAAGAAGCCGGUGGUCGUUCUCGUCAUCGGCAUGGCCGGGACGGGGAAGACCACCUUCAUGCACCGUCUGGUGUGCCAUAUGCAGGCAUCGACAAACAUGAGGGGAUACGUGCUCAAUCUUGACCCUGCGGUGAUGACGCUGCCAUUCGGGGCCAACAUUGACAUCCGCGAUACCGUGCGGUACAAGGAGGUGAUGAAAGAGUACGGACUCGGUCCCAAUGGUGGCAUUCUUACCUCACUCAACCUCUUCUCAACCAAGUUUGAUGAGGUUAUAUCUGUUAUUGAAAGCCGAGCAGACCAGCUGGAUUAUGUGCUGGUGGAUACCCCAGGGCAGAUUGAAAUCUUCACUUGGUCGGCUUCAGGAGCUAUCAUAACUGAAGCUUUUGCAUCAACAUUUCCAACGGUUGUUGCAUAUGUGGUUGACACCCCCAGGUCAACAAACCCUGUAACCUUUAUGAGCAACAUGAUGUAUGCGUGCAGUAUCCUCUACAAGACCCGUUUGCCUCUGGUGCUGACAUUUAACAAGGUUGAUGUAGCCAAGCACGAGUAUGCUCUUGAGUGGAUGCAAGACUUUGAAGCAUUUCAGGCAGCUUUGGAUUCCGACUCGUCAUACUCCUCUUCAUUUACCCGGAGUCUCUCCCUUGUGUUGGAUGAAUUCUACAAGAACCUACGCUCUGUUGGAGUAUCAGCGGUAUCUGGCACUGGAGUUGCUGCAUUUUUUGAAGCUAUGGAAGCAAGUGCCAAAGAAUACAUGGAGACUUAUAGGACUGAUCUUGACAAGAGGAUUGCUGAGAAGGAGAGACUAGAGGCUGAGCGCAGGAACGAGAACAUGGAAAGACUGAGAAGAGAUAUGGAGAAGUCCAAAGGACAAACUGUGGUGCUCAGCACUGGUUUGAAGGACAGAAUUCCCUCUUCAGAAAUGAUGGGCGAUGUGGACGAGGAGGAAGAAGAGGAGGCGGUGGAGGAUUUCAGAUUUUGCGAGAUUGAUGACGAUGAUGAAGAAGAUGAAGACGAAGAAGGAGAAGAUGAGGAAGUGGCUCAUUUUGGCCUUUAA